GGCCAUAUAGUCAAAGAAUGAUAUUAGACUGCAAUUCUAAGGUUGUAGGAAAACUACUAAGGCUU
Molecule: transfer RNA, 65 nt
Filed under: Anax imperator (emperor dragonfly)
Lineage: Eukaryota; Metazoa; Arthropoda; Insecta; Odonata; Aeshnidae
Description: tRNA-Cys
Source: RNAcentral